GUGGUUCAGUAGUAGAACUCCCACCUUCCAUGUGGGAGACUCAGGUUCUAUUCCUGGC
Molecule: transfer RNA, 58 nt
Filed under: Loxodonta africana (African savanna elephant)
Lineage: Eukaryota; Metazoa; Chordata; Mammalia; Proboscidea; Elephantidae
Rfam family: tRNA
About the family: Transfer RNA (tRNA) molecules are approximately 80 nucleotides in length. Their secondary structure includes four short double-helical elements and three loops (D, anti-codon, and T loops).
Source: Rfam by way of RNAcentral